AUUUUGUGCAUUUGCCAAGUUAGGAAUCUGUAAACUAGACCUUGGGAUGAAAAAAAAGAUGAUACAAACUUUUGCUUUGAGUAUGGACGAUCUGAACCUUUGUACAGACUCAGAGGAAUGUGGUUAUUAACAACAAAUACCCUCUCAAUUUUUCCUCUUCUCCAAAGUAACUGGUCCAUACAUGAGCUCAGUUUUUGUGGUAACCCUUAGGGUGAGUGCAAACAUCAGAGCUCUCAUGAAAAGCAUUCGAUAUACUUUAUGGUCAGAGAGGGGGAAGAGAAGUAAGCCUGGAGCGCCUGCAGACCUGCAAUACCUAGGAAAGUGUUCCCAGUUCCCUCUAGACCUGUAGGCAGACUGGGUUUCUCCAAGCUCUUCAAAACUUGUCUGUGAAGGAUUACUUCCCAGAAUAUGUCCUCAAGAAGCUGCCUGGCCAGGCUGGGAUGAAGGUGGCAGUGGAGCAGGAGUGAUCCCCUUUGGUGAGUCCUGAUUCAAUGUCAGUCUGAAAUGGAAAGUAUUGGGCUUUCAGACUAUGGUGGUGGAAGUUUAAUCUUCCAGGGCUAAAUCUACACAUCAGAGAGCAGAGCAUGCCUCUACAGGAUUUGUGCUGCUACCCUGCGAUGAGAGGCUGGGAAAGAGUUUGGAAAUAUCCAUCUAAUGCCUGGUAAAUGAGUGUCUACAUUGAACAAAGCAAACAUUGCCACACUUGCCAGUUUUGCCAGUGAGGCUUGUAGGAUGAGUGGGCACUGGAGUUUCAAGUAAUCCCUCUCUCAGAAGCAAUCUGUCUCGAGUCAAUGGUGAGCAGCAUUGGGAUGGGGUAAGCAAUCCGUGCUGCUGCUUCUGCUGCGCUGUCUGUGGAUAAAUGAAGGCAUUUAGUUAACCAGACGUGUAAUUCCAGCCUGUUUUAAUAAGUUUGAAUUACACACACUGAGCAUCUUGAUGCAGGUAUGGAAGAGUAGGUUUGUUUAUGCCAGUUUUUAAUGCCACUCGCGUUAUUUUGGAUACCAGUGAUGUUAGACUACAAGUCUAAUCUCUUCUCUGUUAGGGUCUCACUUUUUAUUUAGAUUUUAAAACGGUAUUCAAAUGAGGUUUUGACCGAAACUGAAUCACUAUGUACUUGAAAGCUAAGGAGCUUAUCAGGCAUCUGAUAAUGUUUUCAGGAUUUCCCCAGAUUAGACCGCGGAGUGUACAGACAGGAAGCUGAAGUAUUGAGCGCCUGACCAGAGCUUCCUCCUGUGCAAGAGUGGGGGUUUCUCCAACUUGAAUCUUUAGCUCUACAAGCACAGUCCGAGUCUUGAAGUCCAAGGGAUAAAGAGCACCCAAAUCUUUCAGCUGGGUCCUCCGAGCGUGGAGAAUGGAGUACUGCACUUAAGCCCUGCUUGCAAGGUCAGCAAAACAGUUCUCACCUCUCCCUGCUGCUGCUUACCUUCCUGGCUCCUUAUCAAGCAGGGAAUCAGAAAGGGACUUUCCAGAGCUAUAAACAUGUGAGCUGAAGAGAUGGAAUGAACCCUUAUGCAAAUGAGUCUUGAUUCCCUUCCCUUUAUAAAGAUAAAAAGUUUUUGAGAGAGCAACGGCUCCUCCAGAAUGUGGGUGUCCGGAGUUAUUGCCUCGGACUGGCUGGAUCUCUCUGUGCUAUCUGUCUGUCUGUCCGCCUUUCUUUCUGCUUGUCUGUCUUUCCAUUGUAGAGAACAAAGCGGAGUGAUGUAAAAUAGAAAAUGAGACAAGCAAACCUUUGGUGAUUGAAGAGGAGGAAGGAAAAUGAAAGAGAAAAAGCUGAAGAGUGGGAAAAAGAUAAAAUAAAAUGAAUUUUGGGGAUUCCACUGUGAGUAAGAGCUGAAAAAAAAGUAAGCUGAUUUAUUACAUGUUUAUCUUCUGCCUGCGAGUCAGUGUGCCUUGUAUAUGCGAGGGGUGAACUGCACAUUAAAGAUUGAAUCAAAAAGCCAAAUUCUUCCUCAAUUCCUCCAGCUUUAAACGAGCAUAAUUCUGACAGCUCCGAUGGAUUUACAUUUUGUAAACAGCAGCGGAAUCAAGAUCAAGUCCUUUAAGUCAUUUUGAGUCAUAUUUAUGCUGAAGUUAUGAGAAAUUUAGAAUGACUUUUAAAUAACGUUUGUCAGGGAAGCUGCACAUUUUCUAACGCUUCUCUUCACUGGGCAGGAAUUUUGCUAUGGUCAUUGCAGUGUUGUUAUGACUUUAUUCUGAAUCCAAUGGCAGUACAGAAAGAAGGGGUGAUGUUAUCGUUAUGUGCAUCCAUAUUUUCCUUGCAUUAUGACUUAUGUAUAUUCAUUUUUAUUUUAAAUGUGUAUUUUAACAACCGUUUAAACAGGGAGAUGGCAUGAGCUAGUUGAUGUAAGUAUUUUUUUUUCUCUCCAUCAAAUGCCACUGAUUUUGAAAAUGCAGUGUUUGACUGCAGCCGGAGGGUUUAGCUGGCUACACCUUGCUUUCUUUCACAUUAAUCCUUUACUCUUUUGCAGGUUUAUUUCUUCCUUUGCGUGCUCUGAGCUUAUCUGGGCAUCCAAAAGUUUGUUUUAUAGUAUGGAAGAAGAGGGACAGAGGAAGCACCGCAGGUUUUCUUGAUGAAAUUUCCAAGCUUUUGCAGGUGUGGAGACGGGCUUCUGGAGCCUGCAGAAUAAGGCAGCUCCCAUCCCUCUCUUUCUCCACCUAAUCAGACAGUUUCUCUUACUCUUCCUUUUUCUGAACAGUUUGUUCGCUAAAAAAUGCUGUUUCGAAUGAACUGAAAUUAUUGACAGAGCUGAAUGGAGUGGUGCAAAUAGUACUGGGUAAACCAUCAAAAAAAUAUUUUGACAUUUGUAGAAUUAAAUCCUAAUUCUUUCUUUGAAAGUGCUUUUUUUCAUUUUCAUGUUCUUCUUAUCGUUUUUAUGCAGCAAUAAUGACAGCAAAGAAGAAACGAAGUAUUUUGUUUUAGGCCAAGAAAUACGUUCUAGUGCAGCUCAAAUUAUUUGCUUAUUUAUUUAUUGUUCAGAAAAGAACAAAAGUCACUCCAGGUUCCACCAAAUGGCAUUUUCCUUUUCCUUUCUUUCUUCUUUUUUUUUUUUUGAUUAGUAGAGGAAAACAUGGCUAAUUGCCACAGCCAAAAGUCCAUACCAUUGUCAGGACCAGCUGUAUUUCAGCUAUGUUAAUCUGGCAGAAUACUGAGCAUUCAUUUUCUGUGGGAAAUGAUGAUUAAAAAAGGGAAUUAUUUUUGAUAAGAAAAACGUACCCUUUUCUGUGCUUUUAUUGGUCAGAUUAAAUAUAUAAUCCACCUUUUCCCAUAAUCAGGGAAAGAAAAAAAAAAAAAAAAGGAGGAGAAAAGUCAGCUUUCAUUAUUGAAAUAGAUUUUCUGGAAGAUUUUUGACCCAAUUCCCUAACAUGAAAGGCUGCAGCUACUCUCUCCUGCAGUGUUUCAGAUGCCUGUGCUCCAUCGCAGCUUCCAUUGGGGCUGAGCGCUUCCCUUGGGCAGCAGAGCCUGGAGCUCCUGGAGCCAUGGGAUGAGGCUGCGGUGGGGACUCUUUGGCAGGACAGAGGUUUCAAGUGUGUCAGUGACUGCCUGUGGUCUUUGUGGGGGGAUUCAGUAAGGAAAAGUAUGGAAAACAGAGAGCUGCAGAAAACUAUUUCAAAGCUUGGAUUCUGUAGUGCAUGCUGGAUAGCCAAGUCCUCACCGGCAACUUGAGCAAUGUCAUGUCAAAAGUCUGUGUAGAAAUCAAAGAAUGUCUUUACUUUUCACUGUAAUCAUUUGUAGCAGUUAAUACAUUUGAUUAAAUGUUCGAGAGUUGGUCAUGUUGAAUCUGAAUGGCACCUAGAACUAUUUUCUUUAAAAUCAGCCCCGGUGAGCUCAAGGGGAGCCAGAUUUAACAUCGUGGUGAGCGUAUCCUGGUGGAAGGCAGGCUGGCUCCCCGCAGGCUGUCUGCAUCAGCGCUUCUCAGCCUUCUCUAAUGGGGCCUUCUUGGAAAAGCCGUGGCUGGACCAUUUCCCACGCACAACAAGGAGCCGUCUGCACCUGCAGGCGCUCACUGGCAGCAUCCAGAGAGCGGCUCCCGGCUCCGUCUGCCAGCACUGGUGCUUCUCUGCCAAAUGGAGCAGACAUGUGGUUUGUAUCUUCUAAAUGAGCUCGUGCAUAGAGCAGGUUCUGGCGUCCGACAGCAAACAGUGGGCUGCAGCCCACGGGCUGUGUAACACCCAUCCAGCUCCCGGCGCUGUCACGCCUGCACCUGGUCAUGAGCCAGAGCUCUCGGGCUGUUGCAUUCGCUGCUGUGUGCCGGUCUCUGCAUAACUACGGCCAGUUUGCACUGCACUUGAGCUGUUUCAUUAUUCUAAUUUUAAUUGUAGUUGAUUUCAGUGAAUUAAUGUUGAAAUGGGCUAUCUAUGAACUGAAAGUGUGCUUGCUCUUCACAGCUUAUUUUCAGUAGCUGCAGUAUUGUUAGAGUAUAAAUACAGCCAUCUCUUCUGGAAUCGUAGGAUCACUGGAGUUUGAAGGGAUGUUUAAAGGUCUUUGAUUCCAAUUCCCCUUUCCAGAUUUCAACUCCAGCUUUUAUAUUUCAAGUAUUUAGAUACUGAACCUGUCUGAAGAAAAAAUAUCUCCGGCUUCUAAUGGAUUUCUAACAUUACAAUUGUUUAUUAUAAUAAAUAAUUGAAUAAUAAUAGCCUAAUAUAAAAAAGAAUGAAAUCCUUGCUGAGUGAUCAUGGCAUUCCUUUUUUAAAUAAUGCAAUAAUUACAAAAACAUUUUAGUUAAUUAAAACUUUAAGUUAAUGUUUGCCUGUUUUUCAACUAUUUAUGCAGAGCCUAAUCAUUUUGGGUUAGUGAUACAGAGCACAGCAGCUGCACAGGGACAAAGACUUGUAAGUACCUGUGCCAUUGCCACAGAUGGAACAAUGCCAGUUCUUUUGAGUUCUUAAAAAUGUGGAAAUUGAAAGGGAGCAAGGAAUGGCCAUCUACUCUCUCCUGUUUGCUUUACCCACCUCUCCCUAUGUUGCUGGUUGUUUAGAUUGUAUCUGACAUGUAUGGCCGGACCAGACUUUUCUGGUGCUUGGUUCCACUAUGUGCAUCAGGAACUGGUUUGGGUGAGCAGUCCAUAGUGCCACGUGUUGGGACGCAGCACGUGCCUUGCACCCAGCAUCUGCAGCACAUGCCUGGUUGGAUAUCUGAGCCAAGGGAGGAAGCGCUGCUGGAUCUGGGACCGGCUCCAUACACGAGGUAGGCCUUUUCCUGACACGGCUAGUCACUGACAUGAAACGUUUUGCCGCUAGGAUGUAAAAUGUAUCAGUGAAAUGAUAAGGAAUAAAUAGGGUUGGAGUUUCACAGCUUUGCAAGGGCUUUUAACUUCUCAGCUCUCAUUACCCUCAUUAGCACAAUGAGAAUGGGCUUCCUGGCUGUCCCCACUGCUCCUUGCAACAUCUGGGCACUGUCAAGGCAGUUGUUACUACAUUUGUGUCCGUGUGUGCAAGAUGCAUGCUUUAUACUGUUUACAUUCCCUGCGCUGUGUUCCCUUCUGUCAUCUGAGAGUGCAUAGGAAGAAAUACGGAGUGCAUGCAUGUCUGCAUUUUUCAGUACAAAAACGUGCUGGAGUCGUGUUUGGAGAGCUGUGACCUAUUGUGGCUUCUUUUAAGUGUAACUGAAACUGUGCUGUAGUAUAACCGUACUCUAACUAUGCGCUAUAGAGAUUACUAAAAGUACUUGCUUUAGGAGGCUUUUAUAAUUAUUACCGAUGGCAAGAAGGUUUUAAAGCUCUGAAACAGGUUUUUCAUGCUAUGAUUUUCCAUAUGAUUGUUUUAAACGCCUACGGUGUUCAUGCAUGCAGCUGAGGUGUAAUAUGUUUCAGAUAUCAAUUGAUACAUUUUGCCACGUACUUUUUCUUUAAAUUAAAUUAGCAGCGCAAUGCAAAAACUGUCAGUUUUAGGUCAAGAAAUGAAAUGGAAUAUGCAAUGAUUUUGAUCUUUCGCAAAGGAAAAUGGUCUGUUGCACAAAGUAAUGUGUUGUUGGAAAAUGUGAUUAAAAUGGAGACAACAGAACUGAACCUCCAGAUAAGCAGAGUGGAAUAAUUCUACAGGGGAGGAAAUUGCAUGUUUGUUAUUCGUGACAUGGGCAUUGGCAGCAGAAACACAGCUACCGCCUGAAAUUAGAAAUGCAUCCAGAAAGUAACUGGGAGUUUCAGAAAGCAGUUUGGGAACAAACGCAGCUGCUUCUGCCAAGAGCAAAACAUGAAGGGGGGGCGUGGGGGGGGGACACUAAUACCGAUUCAUCACAAGAUGUGAGAUUGUUUGUUUCAAAGACAAGUUUAAAAAAAUAGGAUUUAUUUUUUUUAAAGCUCUUUUUUUGUUCAGUGGGGGGAGGACUACAAAAGUCAACGCGUUCUUCCUGGGCUGAAGGCAUCGCUGGCUUGAUGCAUUUGAAGGGUUCAGGAGGAGGAAUCCUUGCGGGCAGUUCCUUGUUUGACACUGGGAGCCCAGGGAGCGAUGCUGGAGCAGGGCGUGCUUAGCGCCCAGGUGUCUGUCUGAUGGAACUGGUAGAGCAGAGUGCAGUUCAAGUGCAAAGCUUUUUCUUUGUGAUUGCACUGGAGGUUUGCUGUUGGAUUUUGCAGUGCUGAAUACGAUUUUUACAAAACUAGGGAAGAGUUGCAGCUUCUCUGCGUGUAAGCACAGAAAUGUUUGUCUGCAAACAUGGAUAUUUGCUUUACCAAAACGGAUUAACAAAAAAUGACAGUGUGCUAAGAUACAGGCAGUGUUUGCCUUGUGUCCAAGCACUGCGUCAGGACCUCCUUGCUGAUCCUUACAUUUAUACGCAGAGCAGCUCUGUGUUGGCGUAUGUGAUGGGAGCAGAGCUGCUCAGCAUCGCAAGGGCCCAGCUGCUGUGCUGCCCGUCCUGCUGCCUCAGUGCCUCCUUCUUCUGCUCUGCCCUCUUGCUUCAUCCAGCCAGAUGGCAGCGUAGCUGUGGGAUAUGUGUUUUCCCACCAGCUAUGGGGGGAAAAUGUAUUUAACUCAAUAAGGGUGAGGAAGAUGCAUUAUGCUCUUAAUGAAAUGUGACCAUAUUCAUAUUUUUAUUUCAAGUUCCCCACCAGUGUUAAUUAAUUAUCACGCACGAUGAGCUCAUUUAAAACGUAUCUGGAUUCACACGGAGCUGCAGUACAUCAUUGACUGGUUAAGAAGCAUUAAAAUCUCACUCUUUGGUGUAUGUGCAGACAAAUGUAGAUGUUGUAUUAGCAAGAAAGGUACUAACGGCAACAUGGAGAAUAAAAAUAGGGGAUGGUAAGGAAAACGCCGAAGUUUUACACAAUCCAUUAACUUGAUAGCUUUAGGAUCAUUAUGUUCAUUUCCUUUUGAAACAUAUUUAAUUCAAAAGGAAACUUAUGGAAGAAUAGUCUUCAGGCACUUAACAUUACUUAAUCACUCUAAAAAGAUUCGCCUUUUGGUGUAGCAGUAAAACUUUAUAUGAUGAUUGCCUAUUAAGUGCCUGUCCUAUAGGGAUAGUUAUUUCUAGUGCAAUAAGACCUCCAAGCUGUGAGGUACUAAGUGACCCUGAUGGAAUAGGAAAAAAUAAUGUUGCUUCAAUAAGUGGACUUACGGUCUGUUGAGAGGCUCACCUCCUUACUGCUCUUGCAGUGGUAGAACAAUGUAAUUCUAUGGGCUUUCUUCUUGUUUGCAAGUGCAUGAAUUUAAUUCUUGAGCAAAUGAGUUCUCAGAGGCUGGGGGACACUCCACGAAUGACACCCAUAUGACAGAGGAUGCCAUGUGUGAAGUUGAUAUUGGGUCAAAGCAGAAUGUGUCUGACACUGGCAAUGUGUGUUUUUAAGGUGAAAGAGAACGAAUGGGCUGUGACGACACUAAAUGCAGCAGGCAAACUGAGAGAGAGUUUGACCUUCUCUCCUAUGUAGUUAAAAAAACCUCUAAAGUCAACUUACCUUGAACAUGACUGGGAUUAUGAAGCUAUGCACCCAUCCAUACUGGCAGUUUAGGAAUUUAAGUUAGACAGUGGCUGUGCUGGUGGAGAACCCAGAUGGGAUGUCCUUUGGGCAGAACAGUGGGACAGGUCAGCUUGCUUGCAGCUACCUCAGAUCCAUUUACUGAGCACUGAGGAGGGGGUUGUGAUGUUCUUCCUUGUCUUUAGAGUGUCUGAUUGGUUAGAGGAAUGCAAACGAGCGUCCAAAUCAGAUGUCCCCCUGCUCUGGGUGCCUCCAGGGCACACCUAUCGACUCUGUGCUCUGAAUGCGGGGCCUGGAGUCUGUUGCAGAGGCACUUCCAUGCUUUAUUCUUUUUGGCUCUUUCUCUAUUUUACCAUAUCGUGUUUUCAUUGAUCACUGUUCAAUUUUUUUCAUAUUUUAGACUUGGAGAGUCACUGCCACAGCAGGGCUGGGCUGCAGACAGAUAUCUUACUUUACAUCAGCAAAGAUCUCCUUGGUAAGCCGUGCUCCAGUGACCAAUUAGAAAGACCAAACAAGCAGAAUGUAUUGAAUUACAGAGUCAUAGAAUCACUGAGGUUGGAAAAAAACUCUAAGAUUAUCAGGUUCAACCAUCCACCCACCACCAACACUGUCCACUAAACCAUGUUCCUGAGUGCCCCAUCUCCAUGGUUCUUGAACACCUCCAGGGAUGGUGACUGCACCCCCUCUCCCCCGCAGCCCAUUCCAGUGCCUGACCACUCUUUUGGAGAAGUUUUUCCUAAUAUUCAACCUGAACUUCCCCUGGUGUAACUUAAGACCAUUCCCUCUCCUGCUAUCAAAUAAGACUGCUGUGAUAGCCUCUUUCAAAGGAAAAUUUGCCUGUUAUUUGAGGAUCUUAACAAGAAGCUGCUUGUGCUCAUUUGUUUUUUCUCUCUGUAGUAGAUGUCUCACAAAACCAGCAGCCUAACUGGGGGGACUGAACUGGUCUGAGGGUACCACAAGACACUUGCUUUGCAAGAGAAACUGUUCAAGAAGAGUAUUUUAAAAUUCUGCUGUUUGGAUGACUGGCUUAAUAGCCUAAGAAAACAAUUACAGCAGUAAAGCCACAGGCACGCUGUGGGAUGCUGCAGCAGCCAAGAUGCAGGGUGCUGUGCCAAGCACUGCGCUGGGGCUCUGCCGACUGGGCUGCGGGUGCUGCUCCGUCAGCUGCAAAAGUGGCACAGGGUGUUUGCAAAAUCACUCAUUUCACUCUGUUCAGGUGUUUGUUGAUCACUCAUAGUGAAGGUUUUAGAAACGAAGCUCAGAGCUGUUUCUAGUUGAAAUGGUUUGAAAAAGCUGUUGCUGAUUGCUGCAGGACAGGCUGUCCGGAGAACAAGCUUUGACAUCCAUGCAAAGCCCCGGCCAUUGCGUGGCAGUCACCAAUGUGCUGUGGCACAUGGUGUGGCACAAUGCGUGGCACAAUGGCAGUCACCAAUGGGCUCUGCUGGGAGGGUCAGAUUCCUGCCACCACUGGGCAGCCUUUUGGGGGUGAUUAGAAUGAAUUGGACAUUUUUAUUGGAAAUUUGGAAAUAUUUUUCAGCUCGGAAUCAAAUUACUCUCUCAGGGGACAACCUAUAAACUCCUUAAACUUCUAACAUUUUGUUUCUACAUUUCAUAAAUAUAUGCUUAUUUAUAAUUUAAGAAAACCAGCACUAGAACAAAAUAAUUCGUUCUCUUUCAACCUCGCUAUUAAAUACUUUUACCUAAAUUUUGUUUGUGAGGGUAAAGUGAAUGAUUUAAUCUGAACCCCUUCAACCUCCAAAUAUUUUACCUCAGAGCAAAUAUUUCUUUACACUGAUCCUGAAGAGACUUUCCGAGACAUCUCAUCUGGAGCAUAAAGAAAUAGGCUUAAACUGUUCCAAAUAAAUCUGAAACUUUUCUUUUUAACGGGGACACCACAGAUUGCGUGCAGUGCUGUGCAGACGCAGUGUCUCAUUUAGUGGCUUUGAAGGGAUGAGCGCAUCAUCCAACAUCUUAUCCAAUCUGUUUCUCCUCAAAAAUUCUAAGUUUGGGGUGUGAAGCUUGAUGACACCAGUGACAUCUCUUACAUUUGUACAGUAAUGAUGAGGUGUUUCCUGGCUGAGAUGCCAGCUUUGAUCAUCAGUGCACUUGAGCAGCACUUUAUCUGUAGCUCAAAGCUGCUGUCCUGGGGUAAGGCUGUCACCCUGGGAUGAGACUGUCACAUCAGACCAGGCUGUGCCACAACACAGCAGUGCAGCCACGGCACGGAUGGCUCCUGCUUGCCUUUCUGCCACCCAGGCUCUGAUGGCUGGAGGGUUGUACCAGUGCUGGAUUUCCUUCUUUGGAGCAUCUGGAAGUAUUAGAUUGCUGUAUGACUCUGGAAAAUUUUACCUCUGUGCUUUCUUACUUUAUAAAAAAAAAGAGAGAAGAAAAAGAAGGAAAUGUAUAACUUAUCCCUAUGAAAUUCUCAAACAAAGGCUUCCUUGAAAGUGCUGAGUGUUGUAUUGUUUAUACUCCUUAGCUAUAAAUUUCAUUUUUUAUUACCAGCGAUUCUGCUAUGUGUUAGGACACCUUCUGGCUAUGAAUGUGGCCUCCUCUGUGCCAAAAGAAAACAUAAAAUAGCCUGUUUCUCAAUAUAUAUGUCCUCAAGCCAUUAUUUUGCAUCUGACCUAUGGUCUGGAUAGAGUUGCUUUGGCUGCAGUGAAGAUUUCCCUCUUCUGUUUUACAGCACCUGGAGGAAAGCCAAGCACCGGGGAGAGAGAGCAGAGGAUGAGAUACUGCUGCACAUCAGAACGGCCUUGAAACGAAUGUCGUGUAUCCUCAGCUUUGAGAACUGAAUUCCAUGGGUUGUAAUUGAAUCCUUUGUCAGACCCAUGGGGCUCAGUUCUUCAGCUUGGAUAUUUCUGUCUUCACAUACACGGGAGAUCAAAGAAGCACUUGAUCAUGCGCUGACUCUUCCGGAUUCUGAUAGCAGCAAAUAGGAAAGAGAAAGAAUAACUGAUGUGAAUCACUCUGACAGGGAGGUUUCACUGCAAAGACCAGGCUCUCUCAUGUCGAGUAGCUGCGCAGUGAUUGAACCUCUCCGUGGCUGAUAGUCUGUCCCUGCAUUGCUGCUCGCUGGUUAAUUCAACUCUCCUCUCAGUUUUAUCGAAGUUACAUAUCAAGUGCUGAGAUGAUGCUGACUGACUUAUGCUUCCCAAAAAUUGUGUGGUGCUGCUGAAUGUGGCUCUGCUCCCACAUGGGACCAGCAACACCCCAGCCCUGCCAAGUCUACCCACUGUUGGUCUGCUGCAGCCUCCUGUCUGGGAUCACUGCUGCACAGCUACUGUUUGCUCUUUUUUGGCCCCCUUGAGGUGGACCCAUUCAAGUUGUGGGCUGAAAAAGUUUGUGUUUCUUCCUUGGAAGAUCUGUGUUAAAGUUUAUUUUCUUUCAGGCGUCAGGAAAAUAAAAUUUAUGGUCUUCAAACAUGUAAAGAGGUAUAAUUACCAACGAGAUUUCUACUUCAUUCCUGCAAUAAUAACCCUUCCUAAAUUACAUUUUUCAAACUCAGUAAAAUGGAUCAGUCACUGAUCUCAUCCCUGUGGUGCAAUGCUGUUAAAAGCACAGGAAUAUUAAAAUCCCACAGGUGCAGGAGGAGCGUGUUCAGCUAAGUAGUUUAAAGCUGCUGUGUGCCUUUUAUUCUGAAAAUGUAUUUACACUAAAAAUAAUCAGAUGUAAUCACUGUUGCCUGUGGAUACAGAUGUACCUUUGUACCGAUGUGCUUUUCAUAUAAAUUUUAUUCCAGGGUUUGAAGGGUUUCUUUGUGGCUGUCUGAAACAUAUCAUGCUGCCCAGUUGUGAGACGACGGAUCUUGGAAGGACUCACCAGUCCCACCAGCUCCUGCUGGGAGAUAUCCAUUAAACAAGAAGAAGGAGAAACAUACACAAACGAAAGCGAAAUUCUGAAGUUUCAUUUCUGCUGUACACCCUGUCAAAGAGAGGGAAUUAAAUUGGAGAGUCAUUCAGGUGAAUUCAGCUGUAUUCGUUGCUGCUGUAAACUUGAAACUCAAUUUUGGGCCAAGUAAAGCAUUUGCUAGAAAAUAUUACCCCUCUCUCUAUCUUUUUCUAGCUGAUUUAUGCCACAUUCUGGUGCUUAUUCACAGAUCUCAGCCUGUGCAUUUUGUUCAGGUAAAGCAAUGGGCUGAGUCCUCCUGGCACAGCUGUGGCAGAGCAGCACAACCACCCACAUUUUACAGAUAAAUAAGCUGAGUCCUGACCCUUAGAAUGGGACAACAACCCUGAGUUCCACUGAGUGCCAGCUGUAUUUCAGUUCUGGCUUUCUGCUUUUCAUUCCCAACAAAUAAAUGACAACAAGCACCUCCUUUGGCUGCUGGCAGGAGCGUGCCCCAGAGUCCCACUGAGCCUCUCCUCCCUUGGCUGAGGGUCUAUCCCCAUUUGCUGAUCAACCACUGCUCCCCUUUGCUGCCUCCCACACCAUGAACAGCCUCUGCCUUCCUUCUUGAUACUGUGCGUGCCUUGCCUGGUGGAUGCUGGUGGGAGAAGGGUGAGUGCUGGCUGCAGACCGGUGUUUCUGCUCAGCAAAUGAUCUCAGGCCCUUUCAAAAGAGUGACUGCACAUCGCACACUGCUCUGCAGAAAGCUCUGUGCUUGCUACCCUUUGGUACCCCAAGACAAGCUAGCUGCUGCCAAGUACAGCUCAUCCUUUUUUGGCUAGCAGCCCUUUUUGCUUCCAGGAAAAUGAUGAGUUUAUGUCAGGUUCAGUAAUCCUGAUGUCUGCACAGCUGAGAGAAAUAGCGCUUUAAUGUGUGCAUGACUGUGCAUGUGUAUAUAUGGAAACUACAGCUUUGACAAGCCUCUCGUCUGCCUUGGGAAGGAAACAGCAGGGCUUGAAAGCCAUGGAGUCGCAAUGCGCUGGCUAAGGUCAGCAGCUUUCAGUGACUCACAAUCUGUUUUCCUGGCAGCCCCACCAUACAGCAGGUUGUGCCCUUUUUAUCUUCUGUUUCUUUAUUUUUUUUAAAAAAGAAAGGCCUACAUAAGAAAAGCUGCUGGCUCCAGACAGCCUGGAAGUCCUCACCCUUUGACAGCAUGCAUGUUCUCAAGUACAGAAAGCUCUGCUCACUGGUAUCUCUACCAGCCUAUUUUUGCACUGGUAAGGAGAUGCCCUUUCAGUUUACAUUGGAUUGAUGUUACUCUGAAAAAUAUUUGCUAGGCUGUCUCUCUGGUAGCCAUCCUUGCUUUCCAUUUUCUGUAUGCUUGCAGCCGAGCUGGGGAGGAGCAAUGGGCACAGGCAGCUGAAAGCUGCUAGGGCACCGAGAUGCCUCCGGCUGCCAUUAAGUGCCUGGUUUCGAGCAAGAGGACAGAUUUGUUUCACUUUUUCUUCCUUUUCUUUGCUAAAAAUACAAUUGACACUGCCUCAGCAUUUACAGAUAAUACAUGGAUUGGUCAAAUAAUGUAAUUUGUUAAAAGAACCCAAAGAGAUAGAAUUUUUGACUUCCACUUCUACUAACUUUUUUCCCCCAAACUUUUUAAAACUCUCCUUACCGUCGUUUUUCUUUCUUUCAUAUUCCCAACAUUUCAUUGUCAGCUGCCUCCUAUACACACCGGAACAAGCACAGGUAAUCACUGGGAGAGGCAGCUACUUCAUUUCGAGACAAGAAGGAAACUUCUGAAUCAGAUUUGAAAUAAACAUAAGCUGUGCUACAGAUUUGUCUCUACAGGUACAUAUCUGCUCUGACCUGUGAACCUCCAGCUCUGCCCCACGCAUGUGCAGGCACAGCCCCAUGCUGUGCAGUACAGCCCAUACCUCCCAGGAGCAGUUCGCAGACAGAUGAAGCAGGCUGUGUAAGGACAGUUGCCACUGUGACGAUCCAUGCAGGUUCACAAGAACAUAUUAAAUAGCGGCCAUUAAUCUGCUGUUUAGAAAAAAAAACAAACAGCCAUGCAUUUCUACUUCCUAUAGAUAGCAAUUCAAUUAUUAUGGGGCUUGAGUCUCCUUGCACUCCUGUGAGAAGUUUUAUUCUUUAUUUAUUCUCAUUUUAUAGACUGAGACACGGGGACAUACUUGGCUGAGGACACAGAAUGAAUCUAUCUGAAGUUUUCUAGGAAUUUUGCCAUCGUUAAUAUCACUUGCUGAAAAGCAUUAGUGUAAAGGGGGCCAUCAGUGCUCUUCACAGCCCAUCCGCCUCUGAACAGUGCAGAGAUGUCCAUUUUUUGGCUGCACUGCUGCUCAGAAAGUUGCUCUGCCUCUUCCUGCCUGUGAGAGGCUUUGCAAGAGAGCCAAACGAUGAACCCCACAGCAAGAAGGACCACCUAAACCACUCCCACUUCCAAAUCAUCCUGUUAACAUUUGACAGCUUCCUGUGUUUUUCUCAUCUCCACCUUUCUGUGUUCUCAGCAUGGGAGGGCUGUGGAUAAGGAUACCUGUGGCACACGAGGCGCUUUGGGGCACAUUGCUGCCAAUCAGCCGGGUCACAACGAGAGCCCCCGAAGAAGACCUGAGGCCACGGCUCCAGGAUUCAGCAUGGCAGGGCUUCAACAGUGGAAACUUUUAUCUUUUCCAGCAUGAAAACAAAGCUCUUCUCCUGACUGAGAUUUCAUGCAGCGCCGACAGCAUUUGCUGGGCUGCUGCCAAGUAACAAAGGGCAAUAUUUUCUUAAAUAAUAAAAAAAAAAAAAGCAGAAAGCGUAUUAAAAGUUCCCAGCCUGUGUUUGUGAAGAUCUCGGAGCCGCUUGAUUAGGAGCUUGAAGUUGGUCGGACUCCUUCCAGCUUCCCCACUUCACCCUCCUUUCUGCACGAUGCUGCAGCUGCUCUGAUGAAAAACAG
This 14685-nucleotide long non-coding RNA is filed under the name Gallus gallus (chicken). Its description in RNAcentral is "lncRNA (ENSGALG00010012858.1)". The stretch from base 10678 to 10771 matches the Rfam family "mir-146 microRNA precursor family". The record is from RNAcentral. Lineage: Eukaryota; Metazoa; Chordata; Aves; Galliformes; Phasianidae.